Juglans regia (Persian walnut) is the source of this 736-nucleotide long non-coding RNA. RefSeq lists it as uncharacterized. The transcript has 3 exons. The record is from RefSeq and is a predicted model, not a curated record. NCBI's taxonomy places the organism in Eukaryota, Viridiplantae, Streptophyta, Magnoliopsida, Fagales, Juglandaceae.
CGGGCUUUUAGCAACAUCAAUAUCUCUACUUCAGGGGAGUCUUGUCACCAACCAAUUACCCUUCAAAUCUAGAGCAAACACCUCAGUUAAAUUAUGCUACUGGGAAUUAUAAUGGCCUAAACCGAAUUGGACAUGAGGGUGGUUUUGAGACAUUUGAUUUUGAGUCCACAAGUGGAGCUCAAACAAACAACAGGUCAGAAGCUUCAUCAUCUUUGAGUUCAUUUGUGGAGGUUAUUCGAGAACAGGACAGUGAGAUGCUAGCAGAAUUUCCAGAUAUUUUAGAUGUAUCUUUUGAUUACUAGGUAGUAUAAUUCAUAGUUUCAAUGGGUGGUUUCUCGAGUCUCGUUUGGAAUUCCUAUUGCCUCUUUCUUCGCAUCGGUGGUCCAAGAAUGAUCAGCAUGCAGGUAUGCUUGUUUUGGACUCUCUUGUGUUUUAGUAGACUUGUUAAUGGAAUGAUGAGUUUUGAGGUCGUUCUGUCAAAGCUUUGUAGGUGAUUUCUACUUCUCAGUCAACUGAAGGAGCUGAAUUUGAGAUCAAGUGGAGAUCAAGGACUGGGGAGCCAAAGGUGAUGGGUAAGUAUGGACAGACAAUGGUGAAGGGAAAUACGCUCCUGAGAGUCUGAGACACAUUUGGAAGAUUGAUGUUCUUUUCCUUCCACGGGAAGUCUGGAACUAUACAGGAUCCAUACGAAGCAAUACAUGAUUCUUUCGGAGCGAAUUAACCCGUUUUCUCUAUC